UGUGGAUGUAGCUCAGUUGGUAGAGUGCUUGCCUGGCAUGCAUGAGGCCCUGGGUUCAAUCCCCAGCACCAUAA
This 74-nucleotide transfer RNA is filed under the name Marmota monax (woodchuck). Its description in RNAcentral is "tRNA.Ala". It matches the Rfam family "tRNA". Rfam says of the family: Transfer RNA (tRNA) molecules are approximately 80 nucleotides in length. Their secondary structure includes four short double-helical elements and three loops (D, anti-codon, and T loops). Lineage: Eukaryota; Metazoa; Chordata; Mammalia; Rodentia; Sciuridae. The record is from RNAcentral.